GCCGUUCUUAGUUGGUGGAG
This 20-nucleotide non-coding RNA is filed under the name Gossypium hirsutum (cotton). The record is from RNAcentral. RNAcentral also lists the same sequence under 1 other name. Lineage: Eukaryota; Viridiplantae; Streptophyta; Magnoliopsida; Malvales; Malvaceae.